GACGAACGCUGGCGGCGUGCUUAACACAUGCUAGUCGAACGGAAAGGCCCUGCUUUUGUUGGGUUCUCGAUUGGCGAACGGGUGAGUAACACGUGAGUAACCUGCCCUUGACUUUGGGAUAACUUCAGGAAACUGGGGCUAAUACCGGAUAGGAGCUCCUGAUGCAUGGUGGGGGUUGGAAAGUUUCGGCGGUUGGGGAUGGACUCGCGGCUUAUCAGCUUGUUGGUGGGGUAGUGGCUGUCCAAGGCUUUGACGGGUAGCCGGCCUGAGAGGGUGACCGGCCACAUUGGGACUGAGAUACGGCCCAGAAUGCUACGGGAGGCAGCAGUGGGGAAUAUUGCACAAUGGGCGGAAGCCUGAUGCAGCAACGCCGCGUGCGGGAUGACGGCCUUCGGGUUGUAAACCGAUUUCGCCUGUGACGAAGCGUGAGUGACGGUAAUGGGUAAAGAAGCACCGGCUAACUACGUG
RNAcentral lists this ribosomal RNA (468 nucleotides) under uncultured bacterium. RNAcentral describes it as "partial 16S ribosomal RNA". It matches the Rfam family "Bacterial small subunit ribosomal RNA", at positions 28 to 507 of the family's 1533-position model. The record is from RNAcentral.